UACGUAGGGUGCGAGCGUUAAUCGGAAUUACUGGGCGUAAAGCGCGUGUAGGCGGUUCGGUAAGUCCGCUGUGAAAGUCGGGGGCUCAACCCUCGGAAGCCGGUGGAUACUGUCGAGCUAGAGUACGGAAGAGGCGAGUGGAAUUCCUGGUGUAGCGGUGAAAUGCGCAGAUAUCAGGAGGAACACCAAUUGCGAAGGCAGCUCGCUGGGACGUUACUGACGCUGAGACGCGAAAGCGUGGGGAGCAAACAGG
This 253-nucleotide ribosomal RNA is filed under the name uncultured bacterium. Its description in RNAcentral is "partial 16S ribosomal RNA". It matches the Rfam family "Bacterial small subunit ribosomal RNA", at positions 524 to 776 of the family's 1533-position model. The record is from RNAcentral.